UGAUUCAGUUUUGAUCCUUUUUUUAGUUGCGAAAUAAAACUAAGUAAAAAAAAGUGGUCACUCAUCAGGGGAUUAAAUAAAUUCUUGUAUGCUAUGCAAGACUGUUUUUCCCCGACUUUCCACUAAAAGAUUUAUCAAUCGAUAAAAUUGGCCUCUUAGAGCGGUUGUAGCGACUCUUUCGUGGUGCUAUUGAACUCUUCUUGGUGUCAAACUGACACCUAAAAAGGGGAGCUUGAAUCUUCGAGGGUUCGCUUGAACUCCAUAAAGAUUCGAAAAUUCACACCAAAUUGUCGUGUCGGAAAAAGGUAAUAUCAUUGUAGCUAACACCGAGGGAGAUUUUUUUACUUAGGAAUUCGAAUCAUAUUUUGUUAAACAUAUUUUAUCCUAAGUAAAAAAAAAAUUAAAACUUUUACCAUUACUCGUCGAAAAGGUCACUUUAUUCAGUCCAGUCUUUUAGCAUUGAAAGACUCUUAGAAUUUGCUUUCCCAUGCUCCCUUUCGGUCUUAGCUUUGAUGAUGUAGCCUUCUGGACCCUGACAACGUACUUGCAAUUAGGUGUGAUACCAUCAUAGUUAAUAGAGGGGACCACUCUAUUAACUAUGGUACCAUCUAGUGAUCAGACCUUCGCAUACCUUGUGCUGUGGGACAUAAUUGUGUACUUUGAUAUAAUGUUAAGAUUAAUUAAAUCAAGCAGUCUUACUAAUCCCUUGCGUAGAAUAUUCCAAAUAUAGGUCAUACAGCCAAAUAUUAUGCUGAUGAUUGGACGCUGAAGGAACCCGUACGUCUAUAUUGUAUACCCUGCAUUUUCUCAAACAAACUCGCAAAAAGUGCUGAUGAGAUAUGAGGCGCUCCAGGAAAGACAAGGUUUGAAUGGCAGCAGAGCGUCCGUGGUGAUAUUGCUGUGUGAGAUGCAACCAAUUUUUACUGGGAUCU
Exaiptasia diaphana is the source of this 932-nucleotide long non-coding RNA. RefSeq lists it as uncharacterized. The record is from RefSeq and is a predicted model, not a curated record. The transcript has 3 exons. Lineage: Eukaryota; Metazoa; Cnidaria; Anthozoa; Actiniaria; Aiptasiidae.